RNAcentral lists this long non-coding RNA (472 nucleotides) under Trifolium pratense (red clover). Its description in RNAcentral is "long non-coding RNA (TPRA_LNC011438)". The record is from RNAcentral. Lineage: Eukaryota; Viridiplantae; Streptophyta; Magnoliopsida; Fabales; Fabaceae.
UGAAUCAACCAUAGAACCCCUAACGCGUAAGCGAGAAAUUCUGUUGUUGUUUCCACCAACGAUUACUGCAAUUGGAGUGGGUGAUAUGAAGAAGGUUUUGCUGUGCGAUGAUUUAGGAAUGAGAAUGAGCGCAGAGCCACAACAAGAAGAUGCACACGCAGACCCAGCCAUCUAGAUUCAAUUUUUGAUAAUCAGCGAUGCUGUGAACGAUGGUUGUUCUAGUCAAAGUGAAACGCUUUCGCCGCAGAAUGUUUACAAAGAGAGAACACAGUUUUUGUGUUGCCAACUGUUUCUCUUUCCGUGUUUGGAAAGUUAUCGUUGCUGUGAAAAAUGUUAACUUGAGUCAAAGAAAUGUUACAAUCUAUUAGUACUUCAAUUCAAGUUCAAUGGAACUCGCAUCAUCUCGACUCGAUAAGAAAUGGUUCAGCUCGAAACUUGGUUUGAAUUUGAUACAAACUCUUAUUUCAGUUCG